RNAcentral lists this long non-coding RNA (238 nucleotides) under Elaeis guineensis (African oil palm). RNAcentral describes it as "long non-coding RNA (EGUI_LNC070363)". Lineage: Eukaryota; Viridiplantae; Streptophyta; Magnoliopsida; Arecales; Arecaceae. The record is from RNAcentral.
UAGCGUGCAAACGAAUGUCGGCAUUCGACACUCGCACCCUCUGCUACAUGGCUGUAAUUACAAUGGAGGUCAGUAUAAUUCAGUAAGUAAAAAAAAAGUCAGAAAUAACCGACCAACUAUACUAUACCUAGACAAGGAACCGAACUAAGACCGGCAUCAUAAAGGGCCUAUUCGGUUAUAAGCUCUUUCUGCUUCGGCAUCGACAUAUCUUUCAGCCAGUGAAAGUCCUCCUGAUCGU